CCUACGGGGGGCAGCAGUGAGGAAUAUUGGUCAAUGGUCGGAAGACUGAACCAGCCAAGCCGCGUGAGGGAUGAAGGUACAGAGUAUCGUAAACCUCUUUUGUCAGGGAACAAAGGCGGGGACGUGUCCCCGGAUGAGUGUACCUGAUGAAAAAGCAUCGGCUAACUCCGUGCCAGCAGCCGCGGUAAUACGGAGGAUGCGAGCGUUAUCCGGAUUUAUUGGGUUUAAAGGGUGCGCAGGCGGUCUGUUAAGUCAGCGGUAAAAGCCCGGGGCUCAACCCCGGCCCGCCGUUGAAACUGGCAGUCUCGAGUUGGAGAGAAGUAUGCGGAAUGCGCGGUGUAGCGGUGAAAUGCAUAGAUAUCGCGAAGAACUCCGAUUGCGAAGGCAGCAUGCCGGCUCCACACUGACGCUGAGGCACGAAAGCGUGGGUAUCGAACAGGAUUAGAUACCCGAGUAGUC
This 459-nucleotide ribosomal RNA is filed under the name uncultured bacterium. RNAcentral describes it as "partial 16S ribosomal RNA". It matches the Rfam family "Bacterial small subunit ribosomal RNA", at positions 338 to 795 of the family's 1533-position model. The record is from RNAcentral.